This 442-nucleotide ribosomal RNA is filed under the name uncultured bacterium. Its description in RNAcentral is "partial 16S ribosomal RNA". It matches the Rfam family "Bacterial small subunit ribosomal RNA", at positions 338 to 795 of the family's 1533-position model. The record is from RNAcentral.
CCUACGGGGGGCUGCAGUGGGGAAUAUUGGGCAAUGGGCGCAAGCCUGACCCAGCAACGCCGCGUGAAGGAAGAAGGCUUUCGGGUUGUAAACUUCUUUUAAGAGGGAAGAGCAGAAGACGGUACCUCUUGAAUAAGCCACGGCUAACUACGUGCCAGCAGCCGCGGUAAUACGUAGGUGGCAAGCGUUGUCCGGAUUUACUGGGUGUAAAGGGCGUGUAGCCGGGCUGACAAGUCAGAUGUGAAAUCCCGUGGCUCAACCACGGAACUGCAUUUGAAACUGUCGGUCUUGAGUAUCGGAGAGGCAGGCGGAAUUUCUAGGGUAGGGGUGAAAUGCGGAGAUAUUAGGAGGAACACCAGUGGCGAAGGCGGCCUGCUGGACGACAACUGACGGUGAGGCGCGAAAGCGUGGGGAGCAAACAGGAUUAGAUACCCUUGUAGUC